UCAGAUGGGAGGGAAGAUGGCAGACUGUGGUGUGCUACAACCUAUGACUACAAAGCAGAUGAAAAGUGGGGCUUUUGUGAAACCGAAGAAGAGGCUGCUAAGAGACGGCAGAUGCAGGAAGCAGAAAUGAUGUAUCAAACUGGAAUGAAAAUCCUUAAUGGAAGCAAUAAGAAAAGCCAAAAAAGAGAAGCAUAUCGGUAUCUCCAAAAGGCAGCAAGCAUGAACCAUACCAAAGCCCUGGAGAGAGUGUCAUAUGCUCUUUUAUUUGGUGAUUACUUGCCACAGAAUAUCCAGGCAGCGAGAGAGAUGUUUGAGAAGCUGACUGAGGAAGGCUCUCCCAAGGGACAGACUGCUCUUGGCUUUCUGUAUGCCUCUGGACUUGGUGUUAAUUCAAGUCAGGCAAAGGCUCUUGUAUAUUAUACAUUUGGAGCUCUUGGGGGCAAUCUAAUAGCCCACAUGGUUUUGGGUUACAGAUACUGGGCUGGCAUCGGCGUCCUCCAGAGUUGUGAAUCUGCCCUGACUCACUAUCGUCUUGUUGCCAAUCAUGGUAUCUAUGUUUCCUCUUUUACCUUUUAGGAAAAAAAAAUAAAUGGAAUUAACUU
This 602-nucleotide small RNA is filed under the name Pan troglodytes (chimpanzee). Its description in RNAcentral is "retained intron". The record is from RNAcentral. Lineage: Eukaryota; Metazoa; Chordata; Mammalia; Primates; Hominidae.